Delphinapterus leucas (beluga whale) is the source of this 75-nucleotide small nucleolar RNA. Ensembl annotates it as small nucleolar RNA SNORD113/SNORD114 family. NCBI's taxonomy places the organism in Eukaryota, Metazoa, Chordata, Mammalia, Artiodactyla, Monodontidae. The record is from Ensembl.
GGGACCAACGAUGAUGUUUGGUAGAGGAUGAGGCAUGGCCAAGGAACUAUAAGUAUCUGGAAUCCUGAGGUCCAA